RNAcentral lists this transfer RNA (69 nucleotides) under Ourebia ourebi (oribi). RNAcentral's name for it is "tRNA-Met". It matches the Rfam family "tRNA". Rfam says of the family: Transfer RNA (tRNA) molecules are approximately 80 nucleotides in length. Their secondary structure includes four short double-helical elements and three loops (D, anti-codon, and T loops). The record is from RNAcentral. Lineage: Eukaryota; Metazoa; Chordata; Mammalia; Artiodactyla; Bovidae.
AGUAAGGUCAGCUAAUUAAGCUACCGGGCCCAUACCCCGGAAAUGUUGGUUCAUACCCUUCCCGUACUA